This 220-nucleotide long non-coding RNA is filed under the name Lathyrus oleraceus (garden pea). Its description in RNAcentral is "Pisum sativum (pea) long non-coding RNA (PSAT_LNC011131)". Lineage: Eukaryota; Viridiplantae; Streptophyta; Magnoliopsida; Fabales; Fabaceae. The record is from RNAcentral.
ACAUUCAUUUCUUUCCAAGUUUUUUGCCUUUUAUGCUUAUGUGACGCUUCUAGUGUUUUGUUUUUAACUUUUGAUUGUUUUCCCUCCUUUCCUUUAGCAAUGUCUCUAGGUUUACGGUUAUUCUUCCUCAUCAUGUUCGACUUCAACUCUACAGUUUCUCUAAGGUUAUACUUUUCUCCUUUCACCCUUUAAAAUUAUUUAUUGCUUAGUUAUGGUAAAC